GUUUUUAUAGUUUAAAUUAAAACAUUGGUCUUGUAAAUCAAAAUUAUGAUAAAAUUCUUUAAAAACU
Molecule: transfer RNA, 67 nt
Filed under: Prismosticta fenestrata
Lineage: Eukaryota; Metazoa; Arthropoda; Insecta; Lepidoptera; Endromidae
Also listed under: 2 other names
Description: tRNA-Thr
Rfam family: tRNA
About the family: Transfer RNA (tRNA) molecules are approximately 80 nucleotides in length. Their secondary structure includes four short double-helical elements and three loops (D, anti-codon, and T loops). Further hydrogen bonds mediate the characteristic L-shaped molecular structure. tRNAs have two regions of fundamental functional importance: the anti-codon, which is responsible for specific mRNA codon recognition, and the 3' end, to which the tRNAs corresponding amino acid is attached (by aminoacyl-tRNA synthetases). tRNAs cope with the degeneracy of the genetic code in two manners: having more than one tRNA (with a specific anti-codon) for a particular amino acid; and 'wobble' base-pairing, i.e. permitting non-standard base-pairing at the 3rd anti-codon position.
Source: RNAcentral